AGAGAAUAGAUACCCAGGUAGUCCACGCCAUAAACGAUGGAUACUAGGUGUAGCAGGACUCGACCCUUGCUGUGCCGUAGCUAACGCAAUAAGUAUCCCGCCUGGGGAGUAUGGCCGCAAGGUUGAAACUCAAAGGAAUUGACGGGGGCCCGCACAAGCGGUGGAGGAUGUGGUUUAAUUCGACGCAACGCGAAGAACCUUACCAAGGCUUGACAUCCACUGAAUCACUUAGAGAUAGGUGAGUGCCCGAAAGGGAGCAGUGAGACAGGUGGUGCAUGGCUGUCGUCAGCUCGUGUCGUGAGAUGUUUGGGUUAAGUCCCGCAACGAGCGCAACCCUCGACGUUAGUUACCAUCAUUAAGUUGGGGACUCUAACGUGACUGCCGGUGACAAACCGGAGGAAGGUGAGGACGACGUCAAGUCAUCAUGCCCCUUACGUCUUGGGCUACGCACGUCCUACAAUGGUAUGGACAAA
This 473-nucleotide ribosomal RNA is filed under the name uncultured bacterium. RNAcentral's name for it is "bacterial SSU rRNA". It matches the Rfam family "Bacterial small subunit ribosomal RNA", at positions 773 to 1243 of the family's 1533-position model. The record is from RNAcentral.